Long non-coding RNA from Ostrea edulis (European flat oyster), 942 nucleotides. RefSeq lists it as uncharacterized. The record is from RefSeq and is a predicted model, not a curated record. NCBI's taxonomy places the organism in Eukaryota, Metazoa, Mollusca, Bivalvia, Ostreida, Ostreidae. The transcript is spliced from 2 exons.
GAUCACGUACCAACUUCAUGUCAUAUCCCAAUAACAUUCAAAAAUGAUAUUUUAUUUCUUAUAUUUAUAUUUUCUAUUUUGAUUUGUGUUCUUACCGAGCUUCCAUGAUUAUGUAGCAGAUGACCAAAAUAACGAUCGUAGAACACAAAAUAUAGUUCGUAAGAGUUUUAUCGAAUAAAAAAUUAGGAACAAUAUCAAAGAGAAUAUAAGAUAUAGAUAUUUAAUUGAAAAUGUUAAAAAAAAAAAAAAGACGAAACAUGUGUAAAAAUAAAGGUAAUUUAGAGCGUAAAGUUAACUGAAAUGACAAGAAGAGCGGAGUAAACUACAUCCGUGGUGUGAUUUGGUCGCGAUCAGCGAUGGAGAAACUCGCGUCGGUCUAGCUUACUAAGUUGAAAACGCAAUUGUUGAUCACAGAUUUCGACAGAAAUUCGAAGGAUCUGAGAGAAUUGAUGGUGGAUAUGAUGGGUCAAGUUAACGUUAAGCUCUUAGUCAGGUUUUUGGAAAGAAACAACGGUAUGUUCAUCGUUAGGACUCGCGGUUGUAGCCAUGCAGGAGACGAUUCAAGACAGUAGGACAGAUUUAGACCAAGUGCAGGAUUUUAAUGAAGACUCGGACCGGUACCCUGACAUGAACAUGUAAAUUUUUCGAGCUUCGAAAUCAGCCUCUCUUAUAAUCAUGCCGAGUCAUAGCCGUGAUGGAAGUUGCCAGGAAACAACAGGUUAAUUUAUCAUCAUGAAGUAAAUACAUGUAGGCUUAUAACUCUGCCUACAUGUUUUCGCUUCCAAUAUCAUAUAACUCUAUUUUAUAAAUUCGCCAUGCAGAAGUUGCAGACGGUAUUUAAAACUGUAUAAAAUGAAACAAGAGAACGAUAUAUGUUUAAUGUUUCUCUUUUAUAAAUUGAUGAAAUUCUUGUUUUUUUACAAAAUAAACUGUAUAAAUAUC